This 866-nucleotide ribosomal RNA is filed under the name uncultured bacterium. RNAcentral describes it as "bacterial SSU rRNA". It matches the Rfam family "Bacterial small subunit ribosomal RNA", at positions 31 to 897 of the family's 1533-position model. The record is from RNAcentral.
GAACGCUGGCGGCAGGCUUUAACACAUGCAAGUCGAACGAAGAGGUCUAGCUUGCUAGACUGAUUAGUGGCGAACGGGUGAGUAACAUUUAGGAAUCUACCUUAUAGAGGGGGAUAGCUCGGGGAAACUCGAAUUAAUACCGCAUACGACCUACGGGUGAAAGGGGGCGCAAGCUCUUGCUAUAAGAUGAGCCUAAACCAGAUUAGCUAGUUGGUGGGGUAAAGGCCUACCAAGGCGACGAUCUGUAGCUGGUCUGAGAGGAUGAUCAGCCACACUGGGACUGAGACACGGCCCAGACUCCUACGGGAGGCAGCAGUGGGGAAUAUUGGACAAUGGGCGAAAGCCUGAUCCAGCCAUGCCGCGUGUGUGAAGAAGGCCUUAUGGUUGUAAAGCACUUUAAGUGGGGAGGAAAAGCUUAUGGAUAACACCCAUAGGUUCUGACGUUACCCACAGAAUAAGCACCGGCUAACUCUGUGCCAGCAGCCGCGGUAAUACAGAGGGUGCAAGCGUUAAUCGGAAUUACUGGGCGUAAAGCGAGCGUAGGUGGUUUAUUAAGUCAGAUGUGAAAUCCCUGGGCUUAACCUAGGAACUGCAUCUGAUACUGAUAAACUAGAGUAGGUGAGAGGAAAGUAGAAUUCCAGGUGUAGCGGUGAAAUGCGUAGAGAUCUGGAGGAAUACCGAUGGCGAAGGCAGCUUUCUGGCAUCAUACUGACACUGAGGUUCGAAAGCGUGGGUAGCAAACAGGAUUAGAUACCCUGGUAGUCCACGCCGUAAACGAUGUCUACCAGUCGUUGGGUCUUUUAAAGGCUUAGUGACGCAGUUAACGCGAUAAGUAGACCGCCUGGGGAGUACGGCCGCAAGGGUUA